UACGUAGGUGGCAAGCGUUGUCCGGAUUUACUGGGCGUAAAGGGAGCGUAGGCGGAUACUUAAGUGGGAUGUGAAAUACCUGGGCUUAACUUGGGUGCUGCAUUCCAAACUGGGUGUCUAGAGUGUUGGAGAGGAAAGUGGAAUUCCUAGUGUAGCGGUGAAAUGCGUAGAGAUUAGGAAGAACACCAGUGGCGAAGGCGACUUUCUGGACAAUAACUGACGCUGAGGCUCGAAAGCGUGGGGAGCAAACAGGAUUAGAUACCCUGGUAGUCCACGCCGUAAACGAUGAGUACUAGGUGUAGGAGGGAUCGACUCCUCCUGUGCCGCCGUUAACGCAAUAAGUACCCCGCCUGGGGAGUACGGUCGCAAGGUUGAA
RNAcentral lists this ribosomal RNA (376 nucleotides) under uncultured bacterium. RNAcentral describes it as "bacterial SSU rRNA". It matches the Rfam family "Bacterial small subunit ribosomal RNA", at positions 524 to 898 of the family's 1533-position model. The record is from RNAcentral.